Molecule: ribosomal RNA, 309 nt
Filed under: uncultured bacterium
Lineage: Bacteria
Description: bacterial SSU rRNA
Rfam family: Bacterial small subunit ribosomal RNA
Source: RNAcentral
AACGAACGCUGGCGGCGGGCCUCAUACAUGCAAGUCGAGCGCGAAAGUCCGCAAGGAUGAGUAAAGCGGCGCACGGGUGAGUAACACGUGGAUAAUCUACCCUUUGGAUUGGAAUAACCUGUCGAAAGACGGGCUAAUGCCAAGUAAGCUCUCGGAAAUGUGAUGUUUCUGCGAGGAAAGAUGGUGCAAGCUAUCGCCGAAGGAUGAGUCUGCGUCCCAUUAGCUAGUUGGUGGGGUAAAAGCUUACCAAGGCAAUGAUGGGUACCUGGUCUGAGAGGAUGACCAGGCACGCUGGAACUGAAACACGGU